UACGUAGGGUGCGAGCGUUGUCCGGAAUUAUUGGGCGUAAGGAGCUUGUAGGCGGUUUGUCGCGUCUGCUGUGAAAAUCCGGGGCUCAACCCCGGACUUGCAGUGGGUACGGGCAGACUAGAGUGUGGUAGGGGAGACUGGAAUUCCUGGUGUAGCGGUGGAAUGCGCAGAUAUCAGGAGGAACACCGAUGGCGAAGGCAGGUCUCUGGGCCACUACUGACGCUGAGAAGCGAAAGCAUGGGGAGCGAACAGG
Molecule: ribosomal RNA, 253 nt
Filed under: uncultured bacterium
Lineage: Bacteria
Description: partial 16S ribosomal RNA
Rfam family: Bacterial small subunit ribosomal RNA
Source: RNAcentral